GAUGAAGAACGUAGCGAAAUGCGAUAAGUAAUGCGAAUUGCAGAAUUCCGUGUGUCAUCGAAUCUUUGAACGCACAUUGCGCCCUUUGGCAUUCCGAAGGGCAUGCCUGUUCGAGCGUCAUUUAUCAACCCUCAAGCCCGGCUUGCGGUUGGGUCCCGCCGUGGGCGACCACGGCGGACCCGAAAGGUAAUGGCGGUGCCCGUGGGGCCCUGGACGCAGCGAGCUUCUCGGCACGCGUCCCGGCGGUCCCCGGCGCCGUCUCCACCAAUCCACCACGCAGAUUGACCUCGGAUCAGGUAGGGAUACCCGCUGAACUUAAGCAUAUCAAUAAGCGGAGGA
RNAcentral lists this unclassified non-coding RNA (339 nucleotides) under soil metagenome. RNAcentral's name for it is "partial contains 5.8S ribosomal RNA, internal transcribed spacer 2, and large subunit ribosomal RNA". The stretch from base 1 to 120 matches the Rfam family "5.8S ribosomal RNA", at positions 35 to 154 of the family's 154-position model. The record is from RNAcentral.